This 253-nucleotide ribosomal RNA is filed under the name uncultured bacterium. RNAcentral's name for it is "partial 16S ribosomal RNA". It matches the Rfam family "Bacterial small subunit ribosomal RNA", at positions 524 to 776 of the family's 1533-position model. The record is from RNAcentral.
UACAGAGGUCUCAAGCGUUGUUCGGAUUCAUUGGGCGUAAAGGGCGCGUAGGCUGCGGGGCAAGUCGGGUGUGAAAUCUCAGAGCUCAACUCUGAAACUGCACUCGAUACUGCUUUGCUUGAGGACUGGAGAGGAGAUUGGAAUUCACGGUGUAGCAGUGAAAUGCGUAGAUAUCGUGAGGAAGACCAGUGGCGAAGGCGAAUCUCUGGACAGUUCCUGACGCUGAGGCGCGAAGGCCAGGGGAGCAAACAGG